Molecule: ribosomal RNA, 426 nt
Filed under: uncultured bacterium
Lineage: Bacteria
Description: partial 16S ribosomal RNA
Rfam family: Bacterial small subunit ribosomal RNA
Source: RNAcentral
GUGGGGAAUAUUGGGCAAUGGGGGGAACCCUGACCCAGCGACGCCGCGUGGGUGAAGAAAUCCUUCGGGAUGUAAAGCCCUGUUGUAUGGGAAGAGCGGAAGACGGUACCAUACGAGGAAGCCCCGGCAAACUACGUGCCAGCAGCCGCGGUAAUACGUAGGGGGCAAGCGUUGUCCGGAAUUACUGGGCGUAAAGCGCACGCAGGCGGCGUCGUAAGUCGGUCUUAAAAGUGCGGGGCUUAACCCCGUGAGGGGACAGAAACUGGUAUUCUUGAGUGUCGGAGAGGAAAGUGGAAUUCCAAGUGUAGCGGUGAAAUGCGUAGAGAUUUGGAAGAACACCAGUGGCGAAGGCGACUUUCUGGACGAAAACUGACGCUGAGGCGCGAAAGCCAGGGGAGCGAACGGGAUUAGAAACCCUGGUAGUCC